Non-coding RNA from Triticum aestivum (bread wheat), 135 nucleotides. The record is from Rfam. NCBI's taxonomy places the organism in Eukaryota, Viridiplantae, Streptophyta, Magnoliopsida, Poales, Poaceae.
UAACUACUCUCUCCAUCCGAAAAUACUUGUCAUCAAAAUGAAUAAAAAAGGAUGUAUCUAGAUGUAUUUUAAUUCUACAUACAUCCUUUUUUAUCCAUUUUGAUGACAAGUAUUUCCGGACGGAGCUCGUUUCAA